This 253-nucleotide ribosomal RNA is filed under the name uncultured bacterium. RNAcentral describes it as "partial 16S ribosomal RNA". It matches the Rfam family "Bacterial small subunit ribosomal RNA", at positions 524 to 776 of the family's 1533-position model. The record is from RNAcentral.
UACGGAGGGUGCAAGCGUUAUCCGGAUUCACUGGGUUUAAAGGGUGCGUAGGUGGAUUAGUAAGUCAGUGGUGAAAUCUCCGAGCUUAACUCGGAAACUGCCAUUGAUACUAUUAGUCUUGAAUUAUCUGGAGGUGAGCGGAAUAUGUCAUGUAGCGGUGAAAUGCUUAGAUAUGACAUAGAACACCAAUUGCGAAGGCAGCUCACUACGGAUAUAUUGACACUGAGGCACGAAAGCGUGGGGAUCAAACAGG